Molecule: ribosomal RNA, 484 nt
Filed under: uncultured bacterium
Lineage: Bacteria
Description: partial 16S ribosomal RNA
Rfam family: Bacterial small subunit ribosomal RNA
Source: RNAcentral
AUUGAACGCUGGCGGCAGGCCUAACACAUGCAAGUCGAGCGGAUGAAGCGAGCUUGCUCGUGGAUUCAGCGGCGGACGGGUGAGUAAUGCCUAGGAAUCUGCAUUGUCGUGGGGGAUAACGUCCGAAAACGGGCGCUACUCCCGCAUGCGUCCUGUGGUCGCAAGUGGGGGAGCUUCGGACCUCUCGCCAUCAGAUGAGCCUAGGUCCGACGCGCUAGUUGGUGGGGUAACGGGAUAAAGAGGCGAAGAUCCGUAACUGGGCUGAGAGGAUGAUCAGGCACAUUGGCAGUGAGAAACGGCCCAGACACCGACGGUAGGCCGCAGUGCGGAAUACUGGGCGAGGGGGGAGUGCCUGAUCCAGCGAUGCCGCGGGUGGGAAGAAGGUCUUCGGAUGGGUAAGCACUGUAAGUUGUGAGGUAGUGCAGUUAUUUCAUACCUGGCUGUAUUGACGGUACCCAGAGAAUAAGCACCGGCUAACUUCGUG